RNAcentral lists this ribosomal RNA (645 nucleotides) under uncultured bacterium. Its description in RNAcentral is "bacterial SSU rRNA". It matches the Rfam family "Bacterial small subunit ribosomal RNA", at positions 397 to 1033 of the family's 1533-position model. The record is from RNAcentral.
CCGCGUGUGUGAAGAAGGCCUUCGGGUUGUAAAGCACUUUUGUUCGGGAAGAAAUCUGUCGGGUUAAUACCCUGGCGGGAUGACGGUACCGGAAGAAUAAGCACCGGCUAACUACGUGCCAGCAGCCGCGGUAAUACGUAGGGUGCGAGCGUUAAUCGGAAUUACUGGGCGUAAAGCGUGCGCAGGCGGUUUCGUAAGACAGAUGUGAAAGCCCCGGGCUUAACCUGGGAAUUGCAUUUGUGACUGCGAGACUAGAGUGCGUCAGAGGGAGGUGGAAUUCCGCGUGUAGCAGUGAAAUGCGUAGAGAUGCGGAGGAACACCGAUGGCGAAGGCAGCCUCCUGGGAUGACACUGACGCUCAUGCACGAAAGCGUGGGGAGCAAACAGGAUUAGAUACCCUGGUAGCCCACGCCCUAAACGAUGUCUACUAGUUGUCGGGGAUUCAUUUCCUUGGUAACGCAGCUAACGCGCGAAGUAGACCGCCUGGGGAGUACGGCCGCAAGGUUAAAACUCAAACGAAUUGACGGGGACCCGCACAAGCGGUGGAUGAUGUGGAUUAAUUCGAUGCAACGCGAAAAACCUUACCUACGCUUGACAUGCCAGGAACUUUCCAGAGAUGGAUUGGUGNCCGAAAGGGAACCUGGAC